RNAcentral lists this long non-coding RNA (430 nucleotides) under Felis catus (domestic cat). RNAcentral's name for it is "lncRNA (ENSFCAG00000051425.1)". Lineage: Eukaryota; Metazoa; Chordata; Mammalia; Carnivora; Felidae. The record is from RNAcentral.
UGCUGAUGCGGAGUCUGGGCUGCGUGUCCCCUAAGGACGGCGUCCCUGCUGUCUCAGAAGAGAUGCCCCGGUUUUAUAAGAAAUACUCUUUAAUAUCUCCGUAAUGACGUCCAUAGAGAAUUAUCACCUGCUCAUGCUCCAAAUUUCAAAAAGGGUGGGCCUACGGCGGACAUUCAGCACCCGGGCCAGAGGACAGAGCCUGAUGGGGCCAGGCCCUCCAGUCUCAGCACCAGGGACCCCUGGACCUCUGGGAUCUGCUUGCUCCUGGGCCUGGAUGUGAGACCAGUGCCUCCCAGACCUGCGGUUCGGGGCCAGUUUUGUUUCUUUUUUUCAGUUCAUCAUGGGCUGAUAGUUCUGUAAAAUACAGUAAAUAUGGAAGUGGGGAAAUGGAGACGAAGAGACAUGUAACAAACAUUAUUAGAUUCAACGG